Molecule: long non-coding RNA, 1806 nt
Filed under: Papio anubis (olive baboon)
Lineage: Eukaryota; Metazoa; Chordata; Mammalia; Primates; Cercopithecidae
Description: lncRNA (ENSPANG00000050202.1)
Source: RNAcentral
AUGGCAACCUGGCCCCCCUGCCAGGCCUGCCAGGAAAGCCGGCGGACACGUAAGCCACGCCCACUCUGGGCCCAACGCAGUCUCUUCGCGGAGACUCUGAACCCAGCCAGCGAGAGGCAAGAGGGAGUCCCGCCCCUUGCCCUCCAUAUCGGACUAUGGGAACCCACUCAUUGGCUGCAGCGUUUGUCAGCGUCUGGAGGCUUUGAAUCCACCAGGCAAAGACCCAGUGCAUCUGUGCGUUGCACAGUCGCAUCUGUGAAUCCCUGCGUCCCUCCUGCCCCGCCUGCCAAGACUGCUGUGCAGCUUUUCUACCGUCACAUACCGGUAAAAUGUGUGCAAGAUUCAUACAGAAUCGCAUCUGCAUAGAACUGCAAUGAACCUCUCCAUCAUCCAUCACCAUCUUCGGCAAGGUGUGGAUCUUAGCCUGGUGGUAGAAUGUGAAGAUGAGGACCUCAUCCAGGUCCUUCCUUCCUGGGGUGCUCUGCCUCAGCCCUAGAGGCUGUCCCUUACGUCUGCUGUAAUUGUAUUCUUUAGCGUUUUCUUUUCCCUUUACUAGGUAAUCCCCUCUUACACACAGUACUUUUUUAUAUUAAAAUUUCCUUGUCCAAAUUAUUGUGUGGUUUCUGUAUCCUGAGUAAACCCUGACCAAUACAUGGCUAUACCAAUUUAUACUUCUACCUGCAAUGUGUGAGAGCUCCAGUUCCUCCACAGGCAAUUAUUUUAAAGCCUUUGUCUACCAACCACAACAUCUGGAUGAUCUGUGUGUCUUCUUCUAUUGUCUGUUUUUUUCUCUUGCUUAUCAAUGAUAUUUUCAUGCCUCUUCACAAGUCUACUUAUUUUUUACUAUAUGUAGACAUUAUAUAUAAGAGGCAUAGAGACUCCAGAUGAUAUAAUUUGCCACACAGUGUUCCCUCUUUCUUCUGUUAAGCAGAUGGGAGUAAGGAAUGAUCGCAUCAGUCCAGUGAAGGACUGAAGUGGGUUGAGACUGGGUUUUGGUUUUUGGAAUCUAUCUAUCUCAAGUCCAUCUCUGGUUUGCCCCUAUACCUGACAUGUGGAUUUUGGGUGAGUGCCUUGCCGGGUUUCUGGAUCCUCAGCCAUGAAAGACUAUGGAGAUUCAGCUCUGCUUUUCAGAGGUUCCCAGUCCAGCUUCCAGACUGUCUCCAUGGAGCUUCAAGAUCUGGCCAAUGUCUUGAGGUGGGAACUGGCUCUGUGUUUGGGGAAGGCCCUUCCUUCUUGGGAAACUUUCAUUUUCUAAGCACUGUGGGACUAUAGAAUAUUUCAACCUUUUUUUUUUUUUUUUGAAAUAGGGUCUUGCUCUGUUGGCCAGGCUGGAGUGCAGUGGCGCAAUCAGAGCUCACUGCAGCCUUGACCUCCCCAGCUCAAGUGAUUCUUUCAUGUCAGCCUCCCGAGUAGCUAGGACCACAGGUGCGCACCACUACGUCUGGCUAAGUUUUAUUUUUUCUUUGUAGAGAUGGAGUCUCCUUGUGUUGCCCAGGUUGGUCUUGAACUCCUGGGCACAAGUGAUCCUCCCACCCUGGCCUCCCAAAGUGCUGGGAUUAUAAGCAUGGUCCACUGCAUCUGGCCCUAUUCUGCUUUUAGAUGCAUUCCUAGGUGCAGAACUCAGCAAAUGUCAGGUGCAGAAAAAUGGUUUUGUAUUUAAAGCUCCCAUGUUCUAAUUUGUCAUUCUAGCACCUGUAGCCACUAAAAGCUUUGCUGGUUUCCCUUUCCUCCAUUACAGGUCCUCCUGCUAGGCAAACUUGAUCAUUAGCGAGUGCCCCAAACUGACAGAUGCCCUGGGGAUGAGGG